RNAcentral lists this ribosomal RNA (301 nucleotides) under uncultured bacterium. Its description in RNAcentral is "partial 16S ribosomal RNA". It matches the Rfam family "Bacterial small subunit ribosomal RNA", at positions 509 to 808 of the family's 1533-position model. The record is from RNAcentral.
CAGCAGCCGCGGUAAUACGUAGGGUGCGAGCGUUAUUCGGAAUUACUGGGCUUAAAGCGCGUGUAGGCGGGUCGACACGUCCGAUGCUGAAAUCCCCCGGCUCAACCGGGGAAGUGGCCCGGAUACGAUCGACCUGGAGGGGGGUAGAGGGGCCUGGAACUUCCGGUGGAGCGGUGAAAUGCGUUGAUAUCGGAAAGAACACCAAUGGCGAAAGCACUCUGCUGGGCCGACACUAACACUGAGAGACGAAAGCUAGGGGAGCAAAUGGGAUUAGAGACCCCUGUAGUCCCUGUCUCUUAUA